RNAcentral lists this ribosomal RNA (597 nucleotides) under Triticum aestivum (bread wheat). RNAcentral's name for it is "partial small subunit ribosomal RNA". The record is from RNAcentral. Lineage: Eukaryota; Viridiplantae; Streptophyta; Magnoliopsida; Poales; Poaceae.
AUGAACCAGAAUGCUAGCCCCGGCCCGGACGGCUUCGGUCCGGGUUUCUACCGGAAGUUUUGGUCCGUUCUAAAGAGGAAAAUUAAGGACUUUUUCCUCGAGUUUCAUGAUCUCCAAAGCGACGUCUCCUACCUAAACAGAGCCCUCAUCAUCCUUCUCCCUAAAUCCAAUGACGCCCGAUCUCCCGCCGACUUUCGUCCCAUUUCGCUUCAAAACGGCCCCAUUAAAGGAGUCUCUAAACUUCUUACCAAUCGACUCAAGCCACUUAUCCCUCUCCUUGUCCACGCUGACCAAACGGGUUUCCUCUCCGGCCGUAACAUCUCUGAAAACUUUCUAUACGCUGCUGAUAUCCUUCAUUGUUGUGCCAAACGUAAAGCUCCCUCCCUGGUUGUCAAAUUAGACUUUCGCAAAGCCUUCGACUCUGUUUGCUGGUCCUCCCUCCUUUGCACUCUUCGUACUCGUGGUUUCCCACAACGUUGGUGCGACUGGAUCGAAGCAUUGCUCCGCACUGGUUCAACUGUGGUCAUGCUUAAUGGUGUCCCGGGUAGAUGGAUCCAGUGCAAGAAUGGAUUACGCCAGGGUGAUCCGCUCUCGCCC